Brienomyrus brachyistius is the source of this 1775-nucleotide long non-coding RNA. RefSeq lists it as uncharacterized. The record is from RefSeq and is a predicted model, not a curated record. The transcript has 3 exons. NCBI's taxonomy places the organism in Eukaryota, Metazoa, Chordata, Actinopteri, Osteoglossiformes, Mormyridae.
CCACGCCAGGUGGGCACAGAGCAUGAGGCUGCUAAUCCAUCAGUCAUAAACCUCACAACAGAGACAAUUUGUAGAGAGACAGCCUUAUACAACUGCUCAUAGGUAUAAACAUGAUUCAGUGUUAUACUGUCCCCAGAACAGCAGAACCUUGGAACUCGAACGCCUCUCGACUCGACCAACCCGGACGUCGAACAGGUCAGCUGAGAAACAUCUAGCCACAACCUGACGAAAACAUGGAACCUGACUAAACAAAACAGACCUGCUACAAUUUGAAGGUUUUAAUGAGCAAUCAUUGGGGGUCUGAAACGGAUUAAAUCAAUUUACGUAAUUUCUUAUGGGGAGACUCGACUUGGAUCUCAACCAAAUCGCAACUCGACCAGCCUUCUAGAACGAAUUGAGUUGUGUUCCAAGGUACUACUGUAUAUUGAAAUGAUGAAUUUAGUUUUGUGAGAAACUGCAUAUAAGCUCUCACUCAAUGUGUUAUUCAGCUAUUUAACAUUUUCAUUUAAUACAUGCUUUUAUCCAAAAUGACACAGAAUCAGACGGUCCCUGGACCAACUGGGGAUUAAGGGCUUUGCUCAAGGACCCAACAGUGAAAUCGCUCUGCCAUCCCUAGGAUUUGAACUGGAAACCUUCCGAUUAAGGGCACCGCGUCUUAACCCGCUGUGCCACAUAUCACUCCCCUUUUAACCAAAAACUAAGCACGCUCUGUCAUCUCUACGUCCCAGGGGCAUACGGUGGCGUGCAGAGGCUGGCAACACAGAACAAUCAUUCAGAUAUAAAGCAGCCUUCAGCCACGAUAAGGUGGAGCAUCUGUUGCAAGUUCCUGCAGGUCAGCCCCUCCCCAUCCCAUUUACCAGGACAUAGGCAGGUCCACCACACCAGACCUGGGCUGGGCUGUGGCUUGCUAAGAUACAUUGUACACUCCCUAAAACGCUGGUCACACCUGGACAGUGGCCAACGCAUGUGCAGCUCCUCCAUCCAGGACAACCCACUGUACCCUCUCUUGCAGAACUAUAGGGUCAACAGAAUGGAGCUGGCUGGCCAGGUCUUAGCCAAUGUGCGAGGAGAGCAAACCAGGCCUACAAUCCAGGAAAGCAUUUUGUUAAUGGGUUAAUACAGUAGGUGUGUCCUCUGACAAUCUAAAAAUUCACAGGCACGAGACAGACAAAGAAAGACAUUCUGUAGCCCAAUUUAAAACCUGUAUAUCGAAAUUUUACUGCAAUACAGCAAAAAUGUCAAUAUUUUGUUAAACCUGAUCAAGUAAAAUUCUGCGGCCGGUUGCACAAAACACCUUAAGGUUUAAUUUCUCCUUAGCGGAGGGAUUUAUUUACGGGUGUUGUACAGAAAAAUCUUAAGGGAUUUAAUGCAUUGAAAGACGUUUUACGGCAGUAGAAUUGUACAUUAUCCAUGGAAACACUUUGGUUGCCCUCACGCCUGCUUGUGGUGCCCGUAUGGAGUUAAUUUUGUCACAAAAGUAUUAAUCAAAAUUUUGAAAACCACAAGCAAAUUAUUAAGUAUCAGGAUGAAAACAUGUAUUCCAAAUAUCAAAAAAGUCUAAUAAAAUAAUUUUCUCCUUCUUCUCUAAACUUCUAAUUUCUAAUGCUUUUUUGCUUCCUACGUUUGGUGCUGGUUUAACGGGUGGGCGGGCCUUAGCAGCUUACACGUCUAUUGGUCAGCUGGAAUUUGAAAUGAACAUGCCUUUAACCAUCUGAGCACGCCCACUCCAUGACGCCUCAGAACAUCGCAACAUGGCGGGUAGCUACAGAGCCAGU